This 574-nucleotide ribosomal RNA is filed under the name uncultured bacterium. Its description in RNAcentral is "bacterial SSU rRNA". It matches the Rfam family "Bacterial small subunit ribosomal RNA", at positions 277 to 842 of the family's 1533-position model. The record is from RNAcentral.
UGAUGCAUAGCCGAGUUGAGAGACUGAUCGGCCACAUUGGGACUGAGACACGGCCCAAACUCCUACGGGAGGCAGCAGUAGGAAAUCUUCCACAAUGGACGAAAGUCUGAUGGAGCAACGCCGCGUGAGUGAAGAAGGGUUCGGGCUCGUAAAGCUCUGUUGGUAGUGAAGAAAGAUAGAGGUAGUAACUGGCCUUUAUUUGACGGUAAUUACUUAGAAAGUCACGGCUAACUACGUGCCAGCAGCCGCGGUAAUACGUAGGUGGCAAGCGUUGUCCGGAUUUAUUGGGCGUAAAGCGAGUGCAGGCGGUUCAAUAAGUCUGAUGUGAAAGCCUUCGGCUCAACCGGAGAAUUGCAUCAGAAACUGUUGAACUUGAGUGCAGAAGAGGAGAGUGGAACUCCAUGUGUAGCGGUGGAAUGCGUAGAUAUAUGGAAGAACACCAGUGGCGAAGGCGGCUCUCUGGUCUGCAACUGACGCUGAGGCUCGAAAGCAUGGGUAGCGAACAGGAUUAGAUACCCUGGUAGUCCAUGCCGUAAACGAUGAGUGCUAAGUGUUGGGAGGUUUCCGCCUCUCA